Small nucleolar RNA from Rhincodon typus (whale shark), 66 nucleotides. RefSeq annotates it as small nucleolar RNA SNORD58. Lineage: Eukaryota; Metazoa; Chordata; Chondrichthyes; Orectolobiformes; Rhincodontidae. The record is from RefSeq and is a predicted model, not a curated record. The transcript has a single exon.
UUGCAGUGAUGACUUUCUUAGGACACCUUUGGACUAAUCAUGAAAGUACUUCAUUUUCUGAGCUUC